CAUUUAUGGGUAAGAGAUUGGGCAUGCGUUCUAUUAGUUAGUUGGAGUGGUAACGGNACCCCCAAGACAGCGAUAGAUAGGGGCCCUGAGAGGGGGAUCCCCCACACUGGUACUGAGACACGGACCAGACUCCUACGGGAGGCAGCAGUGAGGAAUAUUGGACUAAUGGGCGAGAGCCUGAUCCAGCCAUGCCGCGUGCAGGAAGACGGCCCUAUGGGUUGUAAACUGCUUUUGUACGGGUAAGAGACACCCCCUCGUGAGGGGGCUUGACGGUACCGUAAGAAUAAGGAUCGGCUAACUCCGUG
Molecule: ribosomal RNA, 305 nt
Filed under: uncultured bacterium
Lineage: Bacteria
Description: bacterial SSU rRNA
Rfam family: Bacterial small subunit ribosomal RNA
Source: RNAcentral